Molecule: ribosomal RNA, 440 nt
Filed under: uncultured bacterium
Lineage: Bacteria
Description: partial 16S ribosomal RNA
Rfam family: Bacterial small subunit ribosomal RNA
Source: RNAcentral
CCUACGGGAGGCAGCAGUGGGGAAUAUUGCACAAUGGGGGAAACCCUGAUGCAGCGACGCCGCGUGAGUGAAGAAGUAAUUCGUUAUGUAAAGCUCUAUCAGCAGGGAAGAAAAUGACGGUACCUGAGUAAGAAGCCCCGGCUAACUACGUGCCAGCAGCCGCGGUAAUACGUAGGGGGCGAGCGUUGUCCGGAAUUACUGGGCGUAAAGAGAGCGUAGGCGGCACUACAAGUCUCAUGUGAAAUACCCGGGCUUAACUUGGGGGUUGCAUGGGAAACUGUAGAGCUUGAGUACAGGAGAGGCAAGCGGAAUUCCUAGUGUAGCGGUGAAAUGCAUAGAUAUUAGGAGGAACACCAGUGGCGAAGGCGGCUUGCUGGACUGAAACUGACGCUGAGGCUCGAAAGCGUGGGGAGCAAACAGGAUUAGAUACCCUUGUAGUC